GACGAACGCUGGCGGCGUGCUUAACACAUGCAAGUCGAACGGAAAGGCCCUGCUUGCAGGGUACUCGAGUGGCGAACGGGUGAGUAACACGUGUGUGAUCUGCCCUGCACUUCGGGAUAAGCUUGGGAAACUGGGUCUAAUACCGGAUAGGAACCAUCUUUCGUGUGGUGGUUGGAUAGAUUUUUCGGUGUAGGAUGAGCUCGCGGCCUAUCAGCUUGUUGGUGGGGUAAUGGCCUACCAAGGCGGCGACGGGUAGCCGGCCUGAGAGGGUGUACGGCCACAUUGGGACUGAGAUACGGGCCAGACUCCUACGGGAGGCAGCAGUGGGGAAUAUUGCACAAUUGGCGCAAGCCUGAUGCAGCGACGGCGCGUGGGGGAUGAAGGCCUUCGGGUUGUAAACUCCUUUCGCUAGGGACGAAGCUUUUUGUGACGGUACCGAGAUAAGAAGCACCGGCUAACUACGUG
This 465-nucleotide ribosomal RNA is filed under the name uncultured bacterium. RNAcentral describes it as "partial 16S ribosomal RNA". It matches the Rfam family "Bacterial small subunit ribosomal RNA", at positions 28 to 507 of the family's 1533-position model. The record is from RNAcentral.